RNAcentral lists this transfer RNA (71 nucleotides) under Urocitellus parryii (Arctic ground squirrel). Its description in RNAcentral is "Spermophilus parryii (Arctic ground squirrel) tRNA". It matches the Rfam family "tRNA". Rfam says of the family: Transfer RNA (tRNA) molecules are approximately 80 nucleotides in length. Their secondary structure includes four short double-helical elements and three loops (D, anti-codon, and T loops). The record is from Rfam by way of RNAcentral. RNAcentral also lists the same sequence under 1 other name. Lineage: Eukaryota; Metazoa; Chordata; Mammalia; Rodentia; Sciuridae.
GUGGCUGUGGCUCAGUGGUAGAGUGCUUGCCUAGCAUGUGCAAGGCACUGGGUUUGAUUCUCAGCACCACA